ACGGAGGGGGCUAGCGUUGUUCGGAAUUACUGGGCGUAAAGGGCGCGUAGGCGGUCUUUUAAGUUCCGUGUGAAAUCCCUCGGCUCAACUGGGGAACUGCACGGGAAACUGGAAGGCUUGAGUUCGGGAGAGGGAAGCGGAAUUCCGGGUGUAGCGGUGAAAUGCGUAGAUAUCCGGAGGAACACCGGUGGCGAAGGCGGCUUCCUGGACCGACACUGACGCUGAGGCGCGAAAGCUAGGGGAGCAAACGGGA
This 253-nucleotide ribosomal RNA is filed under the name uncultured prokaryote. Its description in RNAcentral is "partial 16S ribosomal RNA". It matches the Rfam family "Bacterial small subunit ribosomal RNA", at positions 525 to 777 of the family's 1533-position model. The record is from RNAcentral.